GACGAACGCUGGCGGCGUGCUUAACACAUGCAAGUCGAACGGAAAGGCCCUGCUUCUGUGGGGUGCUCGAGUGGCGAACGGGUGAGUAACACGUGAGUAACCUGCCCUUGACUUUGGGAUAACUUCAGGAAACUGGGGCUAAUACCGGAUAGGAGCUCCUGCUGCAUGGUGGGGGUUGGAAAGUUUCGGCGGUUGGGGAUGGACUCGCGGCUUAUCAGCUUGUUGGUGGGGUAGUGGCUUACCAAGGCUUUGACGGGUAGCCGGCCUGAGAGGGUGACCGGCCACAUUGGGGCUGAGAUACGGCCCAGACUCCUACGGGAGGCAGCAGUGGGGAAUAUUGCACAAUGGGCGGAAGCCUGAUGCAGCAACGCCGCGUGCGGGAUGACGGCCUUCGGGUUGUAAACCGCUUUCGCCUGUGACGAAGCGUGAGUGACGGUAAUGGGUAAAGAAGCACCGGCUAACUACGUG
RNAcentral lists this ribosomal RNA (468 nucleotides) under uncultured bacterium. RNAcentral describes it as "partial 16S ribosomal RNA". It matches the Rfam family "Bacterial small subunit ribosomal RNA", at positions 28 to 507 of the family's 1533-position model. The record is from RNAcentral.